GUAGAUAUUUGUUGACAAAAGCAAAUCACACAUGUGAAGUCCGGAAUGGACUUAAAAGCAUGAACCAUGAAUAUCACAUUUUUCAGAGCAUAAAACAUGCUUCACAAAUAGUACUACUUUACAUAAUUUUCAGAGCAUGAACCACUUAGAAAACUGAAGGAACAAAUUAUAAAAGAAGAUCAAACAAACAGUUUUUCCAGCAGCGACUGCAUCCCUAAUACACAAAACAUGAGUAUUCGGAAGACAUGAUGUCGGUCAUAGCCAGAAGAGUGGCAUCCCAAGAACUAAACUGUGCUACCAAAGAAAGACAGAGAAGUGUCCAUGCAGGGGCAGACCCACAAGUUAUGCCGGGUGGGCCCUUCAUAGCACCUUUGUUGGAGAAGGCCAGUGAUGAUUUUCUACUGGGAUGUGAUUGUAACAGGCAGAGGGCCUUGACCAUUCAAAAAAAGAUGGAUAGAAAGGGGGGCUUGAGCCGCAGCAGAGGGUUGACGAGUGCAGGCCUGGACAUGUCCUCCCUGCCUCAUUUCUGAGUUCUGAUGAUACAAACAUGCAGAGAAGCAGAGGGCCAAAGAUAAAUGGGGGAUCG
Molecule: long non-coding RNA, 586 nt
Filed under: Hordeum vulgare
Lineage: Eukaryota; Viridiplantae; Streptophyta; Magnoliopsida; Poales; Poaceae
Description: long non-coding RNA (HVUL_LNC011408)
Source: RNAcentral